Molecule: ribosomal RNA, 775 nt
Filed under: uncultured Neocallimastigales
Lineage: Eukaryota; Fungi; Neocallimastigomycota; Neocallimastigomycetes; Neocallimastigales
Description: partial large subunit ribosomal RNA
Rfam family: Eukaryotic large subunit ribosomal RNA
Source: RNAcentral
UAUCUCUGUAGAGUCUGCAUAUCAAUAAGCGGAGGAAAAGAAACUAACUAGGAUUCCCUCAGUAACGGCGAGUGAAGCGGGAAGAGCUCAAAUUUGAAAUCUUCAAGGUUCUACCUUGACGAAUUGUAGUUUAAAGAAGUGUUUUCUGUUGGAGUUUUGGUAAAAGUUCUUUGGAAUAGGACAUCAUAGAGGGUGAGAAUCCCGUAUUUGACCAUUAUUUCCAGCUUUGUGAUACACUUUCAAAGAGUCGGAUUGUUUGGGAAUGCAGUCCAAAAUGGGUGGUAAAUUCCAUCUAAAGCUAAAUAUUGGCGAGAGACCGAUAGCGAACAAGUACCGUGAGGGAAAGAUGAAAAGAACUUUGAAAAGAGAGUUAAACAGUACGUGAAAUUGUCAAAAGGGAAGCGUUUGACACCAGUGUUGUUUUCUCGAAAAUCAAUUAAAAAAGGCAGGAUUUUGUGUUGUAUUGACUUUAUCAGCUUUCUGCACUCCUUUCUUGUCUUUUUUUAAUGCACUUUUCGUUUAACAAGUCAACAUCAGUUUCUUUUGUUGUAAAAGGGUCAUUGGAAGGUGGCUUUCUUUUCGGAGAAAGUGUUUAUAGCCUUUGGCCUCUGCAAUCGGAGAGAUUGAGGUCUGCAGCGUAGAUCCUUCGGGGUUAGAUACAUUUGUGCUAAGUUAUAGCCUUUCAUAGACAACUUGUUGACUAUGAUCAGUCAUGUAACUUACUCGCUUAUGCUAUUUUACCUACGCUUAGGAUGUUGAUAGUCACAGCGUGUAC